Molecule: long non-coding RNA, 479 nt
Organism: Magnolia sinica
Lineage: Eukaryota; Viridiplantae; Streptophyta; Magnoliopsida; Magnoliales; Magnoliaceae
Exons: 3
Source: RefSeq, a predicted model, not a curated record
GAUUAAUUGAUUAAUGAGAAUUUUGAAUUCAAAACUGAAGUAGAAAUAAUUUUACAAAUUCUUAAAAACCCAAUUUCCUAGAAAGGCAUGGUAGCUUGUUUCUUUAUCCUGUUUAUAUUAAUAUCAUCAUCAUAGCUCUUCUCCCAACAAUUUCUUUUUGGUUCUCCUAAGUUGUGUUAGAUUUGGAUCUGAUGUCAUUUUAAUAACUGGCCCUUUCUAUACAUAAUGCGAUACCUUGAUGUCAUCCAUCAUUUCUGAUCAGACGCCUAUUUGCUCUCUUAUGGUCAAGAUCUUUACCAAUCAAAGCAAGUGAGAGAUAAGCAAAUUGCUCGCAUACUUGGAAAGGCACCAACAAUUGCAGCAGCGGCAUACUGUUGAUGGCUCUCAUCCUUGGAUAUGGACUCUAUAACUUCAUCAAAGUACUGUCUUUCACCAUCAGAAGCUUCCAUGGUAGAUUGAAAUGGAAGGACCCUCAGAAU